This is a long non-coding RNA of Oncorhynchus keta (chum salmon), 1862 nucleotides long. RefSeq lists it as uncharacterized. The transcript has 3 exons. The record is from RefSeq and is a predicted model, not a curated record. Lineage: Eukaryota; Metazoa; Chordata; Actinopteri; Salmoniformes; Salmonidae.
UGAUGAGAGGAAAGUGAGGCGUUGUUUUAUCACCAGCGAACACACACAUUAUUGUCAGGCUGUGUGUUAGUAGCACCGUGAUGAGAGGAAAGUGAGGCGUUGUUUUAUCACCAGCGAACACACACAUUAUUGUCAGGCUGUGUGUUAGUAGCACCGUGAUGAGAGGAAAGUGAGGCGUUGUUUUAUCACCAGCGAACACACACAUUAUUGUCAGGCUGUGUGUUAGUAGCACCGUGAUGAGAGGAAAGUGAGGCGUUGUUUUAUCACCAGCGAACACACACAUUAUUGUCAGGCUGUGUGUUAGUAGCACCGUGAUGAGAGGAAAGUGAGGCGUUGUUUUAUCACCAGCGAACACACACAUUAUUGUCAGGCUGUGUGUUAGUAGCACUGUGAUGAGGUGUUGUUUUAUCACCAGCGAACACACACAUUAUUGUCAGGCUGUGUGUUAGUAGCACCGUGAUGAGAGGAAAGUGAGGCGUUGUUUUAUCACCAGCGAACACACACAUUAUUGUCAGGCUGUGUGUUAGUAGCACCGUGAUGAGAGGAAAGUGAGGCGUUGUUUUAUCACCAGCGAACACACACAUUAUUGUCAGGCUGUGUGUUAGUAGCACCGUGAUGAGAGGAAAGUGAGGCGUUGUUUUAUCACCAGCGAACACACACAUUAUUGUCAGGCUGUGUGUUAGUAGCACCGUGAUGAGAGGAAAGUGAGGCGUUGUUUUAUCACCAGCGAACACACACAUUAUUGUCAGGCUGUGUGUUAGUAGCACCGUGAUGAGAGGAAAGUGAGGCGUUGUUUUAUCACCAGCGAACACACACAUUAUUGUCAGGCUGUGUGUUAGUAGCACUGUGAUGAGGUGUUGUUUUAUCACCAGCGAACACACACAUUAUUGUCAGGCUGUGUGUUAGUAGCACCGUGAUGAGGCGUAGUUUUAUCACCAGCGAACACACACAUUAUUGUCAGGCUGUGUGUUAGUAGCACUGUGAUGAGGUGUUGUUUUAUCACCAGCGAACACACACAUUAUUGUCAGGCUGUGUGUUAGUAGCACCGUGAUGAGAGGAAACUGAGGCGUUGUUUUAUCACCAGUGAACACACACCUUAUUGUCAGGCUGUGUGUUAGUAGCACCGUGAUGAGGCGUAGUUUUAUCACCAGCGAACACACACAUUAUUGUCAGGCUGUGUGUUAGUAGCUCUGUGAUGAGGUGUUGUUUUAUCACCAGCGAACACACACAUUAUUGUCAGGCUGUGUGUUAGUAGCACCGUGAUGAGAGGAAAGUGAGGCGUUGUUUUAUCACCAACGAACACACACACAUUAUUGUCAGGCUGUGUGUUAGCAGCACCGUGAUGAGGCGUAGUUUUAUCACCAGCGAACACACACAUUAUUGUCAGGCUGUGUGUUAGUAGCACCGUGAUGAGAGGAAAGUGAGGCGUUGUUUUAUCACCAGCGAACACACACAUUAUUGUCAGGCUGUGUGUUAGUAGCACCGUGAUGAGAGGAAAGUGAGGCGUUGUUUUAUCACCAGCGAACACACACAUUAUUGUCAGGCUGUGUGUUAGUAGCACCGUGAUGAGGCGUAGUUUUAUCACCAGCGAACACACACAUUAUUGUCAGGCUGUGUGUUAGUAGCACUGUGAUGAGGUGUUGUUUCAUCACCAGCGAACACACACAUUAUUGUCAGGCUGUGUGUUAGUAGCACCGUGAUGAGGCGUAGUUUUAUCACCAGCGAACACACACAUUAUUGUCAGGCUGUGUGUUAGUAGCACCGUGAUGAGGCGUAGUUUUAUCACCAGCGAACACACACAUUAUUGUCAGGCUGUGUGUUAGUAGCACUGUGAUGAGGUGUUGUUUCAUCACCAGCGAACA